AGUGAACGCUGGCGGUAGGCCUAACACAUGCAAGUCGAACGGCAGCACAGUAAGUGCUUGCUCUUACGGGUGGCGAGUGGCGGACGGGUGAGGAAUACAUCGGAAUCUACUUUUUCGUGGGGGAUAACGUAGGGAAACUUACGCUAAUACCGCAUACGACCUACGGGUGAAAGCCGGGGAUCUUCGGACCUUGCGCGAUUGAAUGAGCCGAUGUCGGAUUAGCUAGUUGGCGGGUUAAAGGCCAACCAAGGCGACGAUCCGUAGCUGGUCUGAGGGAAUGAUCAGCCACAUUGUAACUGAGACACUGCCGAGACACCUACGGGAGGCAGCGGUGUGGAAUAUUGUGCAAGGGACGCAAGCCUGAUCCUGCCAUAUGGCGUGGGUGAAGAAGGCCUUCGGGUUGUAAAGCCCUUUUGUUGGGAGAGAAGAGCAGCAGUUUAAUACCCCGCUGUUCUGACGGUACCCAAAGAAUAAGCACCGGCUAACUUCGUG
RNAcentral lists this ribosomal RNA (492 nucleotides) under uncultured bacterium. RNAcentral's name for it is "partial 16S ribosomal RNA". It matches the Rfam family "Bacterial small subunit ribosomal RNA", at positions 29 to 507 of the family's 1533-position model. The record is from RNAcentral.